CAAUAACAGGCUCUCAUUUUUGAGGAAGUAUCAAACAAAUUAAAAGGGGUGGACAUAGUCAAGAUGGCGACUUAGAAGUGGCAAAAGUCAAUUCCUCUGUGAAAACUCUUCUACACCAAUCAAAAACAAAGCACUUCCAGGGGGACAGAAAACCAAAUCCAACAAGAAGACAGAACUGAGGGAUCUUACUCCUCAAUUCAACUUAAAAGGAACUGUUCUUGAAUAUCUGCUGAAGGGAAAGGAAGAUGACCACAUGGAAGCUAUGAACUUAUUUCUUAAGAUUCCAGAAGUAGAAGUUUUCCUUCCUCUGGACUCCCUAUUCAGAUUAAUUCUAAGUUUUCUAGGCAGCUCUACAAUUUAUAUGUGCCAGAGAAGGUGCCAACAUGCAUCGAUAGUUUCUUUACCUGAGUUUCCUGUGCCAUUGAAAUGAAAGAUGAGUAAAUUGAGACUUAAAAGUCAAUUGGCUUGCUCAAGAUUAUAUAGUCAUUCAGUAUUGAGGGUACUAAAUCUUCAGUCAAUGAGUACAAUGCCAUUUGUGAGCACAAACAUUUGGAGGACUCUGCUUUUACCAGAGGAUUGUUCUAUUUGGAUAGGAUUUUGGAAGCAGUAUGAAGAUGAUUUACUGAUUUAG
This 631-nucleotide long non-coding RNA is filed under the name Monodelphis domestica (gray short-tailed opossum). RNAcentral describes it as "lncRNA (ENSMODG00000032180.2)". Lineage: Eukaryota; Metazoa; Chordata; Mammalia; Didelphimorphia; Didelphidae. The record is from RNAcentral.